CCUACGGGGGGCAGCAGUGAGGAAUAUUGGUCAAUGGGCGAGAGCCUGAACCAGCCAAGUCGCGUGAAGGAUGACGGCCCUACGGGUUGUAAACUUCUUUUGUCAGGGAGCAAUUGGGUCCACGCGUGGGCUUAGCGAGAGUACCCGAAGAAAAAGCAUCGGCUAACUCCGUGCCAGCAGCAGCGGUAACACGGGGGAUGCGAGGGUUAUCGGGAUUUAUUGGGGUAAAAGGGUGCGUAGGCGGAAUAUCAGUUCAGCGGGAAAAAUUCGGGGCUAAACCCCGUGCUGCAGUUGAAACUGAUCAUCUGGAGUGGGGGAGAGGUAAGCGGAAUGCGGGGUGUAGCGGUGAAAUGCGUAGAUAUCACGAGGAACACCAGUUGCGAAGGCGGCAUACUGG
RNAcentral lists this ribosomal RNA (397 nucleotides) under uncultured bacterium. RNAcentral's name for it is "partial 16S ribosomal RNA". It matches the Rfam family "Bacterial small subunit ribosomal RNA", at positions 338 to 732 of the family's 1533-position model. The record is from RNAcentral.